UCAUCAUCACCAUUCAACUGAAUAAUCUUUCAGGCGUUUGGUGCUGCUUGGAAGAUAAAAAAACUUCCGAGAGUACGAAUACAAAAUAACACCCUUCGGAAGUCAUUCUGAAGGGUUUUUUAUU
Gallibacterium salpingitidis is the source of this 124-nucleotide regulatory RNA element. It matches the Rfam family "Histidine operon leader". Rfam says of the family: At least 6 amino acid operons are known to be regulated by attenuation. The record is from Rfam. Lineage: Bacteria; Pseudomonadati; Pseudomonadota; Gammaproteobacteria; Pasteurellales; Pasteurellaceae.